This 72-nucleotide transfer RNA is filed under the name Fluviicola taffensis DSM 16823. It matches the Rfam family "tRNA". From Rfam's summary of the family: Transfer RNA (tRNA) molecules are approximately 80 nucleotides in length. Their secondary structure includes four short double-helical elements and three loops (D, anti-codon, and T loops). Lineage: Bacteria; Pseudomonadati; Bacteroidota; Flavobacteriia; Flavobacteriales; Crocinitomicaceae. The record is from Rfam by way of RNAcentral.
GGAGUGGUGGUUUAGUGGAAAAACAGCGGGAUGCAAACCCGGCAGACACAGGUUCGAAUCCUGUCCACUCAC